GUGCGCACUUCACAGCACAUAUACUAAAACUGGAACGAUACAGAAAAGAUUAGCAUGGCCCUGUGCAAGGAUGACACACAAAUUUGUGAAAAUUCACAAAGGAAA
This is a small nuclear RNA of Cavia porcellus (domestic guinea pig), 105 nucleotides long. The record is from Ensembl. NCBI's taxonomy places the organism in Eukaryota, Metazoa, Chordata, Mammalia, Rodentia, Caviidae.